Molecule: ribosomal RNA, 253 nt
Filed under: uncultured bacterium
Lineage: Bacteria
Description: partial 16S ribosomal RNA
Rfam family: Bacterial small subunit ribosomal RNA
Source: RNAcentral
UACGGGGGGGGCAAGCGUUGUUCGGAAUUACUGGGCGUAAAGGGCCAGUAGGCGGCCAACUAAGUCCGACGUGAAAUCCCAAGGCUUAACCUUGGAACUGCGUCGGAUACUGGAUGGCUUGAAUUCGGGAGAGGGAUGCAGAAUUCCAGGUGUAGCGGUGAAAUGCGUAGAUAUCGGAAAGAACACCAACGGCGAAAGCACUCUGCUGGGCCGACACUGACACUGAGAGACGAAAGCUAGGGGAGCGAAUGGG